RNAcentral lists this unclassified non-coding RNA (464 nucleotides) under Aspergillus sp. 13 JS-2017. RNAcentral's name for it is "sequence contains ITS1, 5.8S rRNA gene, ITS2". The stretch from base 121 to 274 matches the Rfam family "5.8S ribosomal RNA". The record is from RNAcentral. Lineage: Eukaryota; Fungi; Ascomycota; Eurotiomycetes; Eurotiales; Aspergillaceae.
CCCGUGACUACCUAACACUGUUGCUUCGGCGGGGAGCCCUCUCGGGGGCGAGCCGCCGGGGACUACUGAACUUCAUGCCUGAGAGUGAUGCAGUCUGAGUCUGAAUAUAAAAUCAGUCAAAACUUUCAACAAUGGAUCUCUUGGUUCCGGCAUCGAUGAAGAACGCAGCGAACUGCGAUAAGUAAUGUGAAUUGCAGAAUUCAGUGAAUCAUCGAGUCUUUGAACGCACAUUGCGCCCCCUGGCAUUCCGGGGGGCAUGCCUGUCCGAGCGUCAUUGCUGCCCAUCAAGCCCGGCUUGUGUGUUGGGUCGUCGUCCCCCCCGGGGGACGGGCCCGAAAGGCAGCGGCGGCACCGUGUCCGGUCCUCGAGCGUAUGGGGCUUUGUCACCCGCUCGAUUUAGGGCCGGCCGGGCGCCAGCCGACGUCCAACCAUUUUUCUUCAGGUUGACCUCGGAUCAGGUAGGG